Molecule: long non-coding RNA, 381 nt
Filed under: Rattus norvegicus (Norway rat)
Lineage: Eukaryota; Metazoa; Chordata; Mammalia; Rodentia; Muridae
Description: long non-coding RNA NONRATT021693
Source: RNAcentral
CUGAAACUUGAACAUUCUCAGGGAAGUUUGUCAUGAUCCUUUGUUGUUUAUCUAUAGUUAGAUUUCAAAUAUGUGUCACUCACAAGUAAGUGUUAUGUAAUUAAUUUUAGGUUCUAGAGGGAAAGUUGCAUGCCAGGCAUUGAUUCUGCUGUUGAUGUCCUGCUGACACACAUGUGCUUUUGCAUUGCAGACAAUAGAUGACUUGCUGCGCUGUGGGAUUUGCUUUGAGUAUUUCAACAUUGCAGUGAUAAUCCCCCAGUGCUCUCACAACUAUUGUUCUCUCUGUAUAAGAAAAUUUUUGUCCUAUAAAACUCAGUGCCCAACUUGUUGCGUGGCAGUAACAGAGCCAGACCUGAGAAAUAAUCGCCUCUUAGAUGAACU